This is an RNA transcript of Boleophthalmus pectinirostris (great blue-spotted mudskipper), 2003 nucleotides long. It is a transcript of the gene named potassium voltage-gated channel protein eag-like, with no coding region annotated. The record is from RefSeq and is a predicted model, not a curated record. NCBI's taxonomy places the organism in Eukaryota, Metazoa, Chordata, Actinopteri, Gobiiformes, Gobiidae. The transcript has 4 exons.
CUGCGUACAUGGAGAAACAUGUGACAAGGAUUUGUAUUUUUCUUUCAUUUGUGCAGAACCACCAGUAAAAGUGUAUCCAGUGGUCACCAGUGUCUCAUGGUCCUUCCUUCAGCGGUCGCAGUACUCAAGAUCAAACAUAUGGAACUUUAGAACCAAAAAUGGUACAGAAAAAAGAGACGAGCUUCCUGUUGGGGAACGCUCAGAUCGUGGAGUGGCCCGUCGUCUAUAGCAACGAUGGAUUCUGUAAACUGUCAGGGUUCCACAGGGCAGAGGUCAUGCAGAAGAGCUCCACCUGCAGAUGAGAGGGAGGGAGCUGCGCUUUUUACCCCGACAAAACUUCACUUCCUCCGCAUUAAAGCAGAAGGUGGGACACAAGCAUGGAUUUAUUAGGAGAGAAGGGACAGGAGGUCCUGGGCAGUCUGUAGACAUAUCGGCCACUCCGUGGGUGAAAUUGGGGCACACUGGGGACAAAGUGCCACACCAGCUGUGCCAGCCAUCAUUGCCUGCCAUGGAGUAACGUUAGCUGACCGAAUGCCCCGACCUCUGGACUAUGUCUAAGUUUUUAACCCUUUUGAUAGACUCAGUGGACUUCUCCCACUCCUGACCUGUUCAGUCCCUUUUAAACCGGCUGUAGAUUAUUGUAAUAAAAUCUGAACUUUGCUGUCUAUAGUCAAUCCUCUGGUGAUCCAACCUACCUGUCGUGCUCGGUGUGAAGCCCUUAGGAGGUGUUACACCACCACCAAGUGAAGGCCACCAUAAGAGGGCAUAAGAGAGUCCAGAUUCCACAUGUUCUAUCUACUGUAGUUUGGAACUCUCCUGUAUCAUUAACAUUUUUGUGUUUCAACCUAACUACACAGAACCAGAUGGUCUUUACAGCAGAAGUAUUUUACUACUUGUUCUGCAUUCUCACAUGUUUCUGUUUUACUUUGUUACUUUUAUUUCAUUAUUUAUUAUGCAUAAUAUCUUCAUGUAAGUAUGAUUAUUAUUCUGUGAAGCAGUUUUAGUGUUAAUGUAAGGUAUACUUUAUUGUUGUUGUAGUGAAAUGUGUCCUCUGCAUUUGAUCCAUCCUUCAGUCUCUCCAGUUAAACUUGUCAGGAGCAGGGGGCAACCAUAGUGCAACAUAGUGGCAGGCAUGUUUAUUGUGCUUGUUGUACUGGGAAUGUAACAUUAUUUUGAAGUUAGAAGUUCCUUUUACAUGUAGUAUCGGCCUACAAAAUUACUUUUCCUACUUUGUGUCCCAAACAAACAGAUUUAACUCUUUAACUUUAAGUAGUCUGUGUUUUAUUUUUGCUCCUAGUUUUAGCCCAGUUAUAAUCCUGGUUUAGUCCUGAUGUAGUCCAGAUUUUUAACCAUGUUUAGUCAAGCUUUAGCCCAUAUGUUUUUCUGUGGUCACUGACACAUUUGUCUCUCUUGUUUACAUCCCAUUUUGUGGCUUUUACAACUGUCUUAUUAGCAUAUUAUAAAUGUACUCCUGCAGCUACUUGUUUUCACUGUUCUGUUGCUUUAUACCAAACCAUUAUGUUUAACCAUUCUCUUAUUUAUGUAGUGAUGUUUAAUUGCAUAAGUUGAGUUUUGCUAAUUGUAGUGACCUGUGCAUCCCCCUCGUUGCCACUAGAGGGCAGCAGAUAUGUUUCACUGUUACAGAAUGGGACAGCGUUGGUGGUUGAUGUUGUUAGACACUAGAUGGACAAUUGUUCUGUAUAAAUUUCUUUGCCUUAGCCUUUUGGUUACUUCAUUUCGGACAGCGUUUUUUUGUUUGUUUUUGUUUAUUUUAGUUUUUUAAAAUGUUUUCUAGUUCUAAUACCCAUAAACAUCCCAUUACAAUAAUACAAUUUUACUUAAAGUCUGGUUUUUAUUUUACUUAAAGUCUGUUUUUGUUGUUGUUUUUUUGUUGUUGUUUUUUUUAGUUUAAAUUGUACUUCCUGGUUGGACACGGGCUGCAGAUAUGACAGUUUGAACUUUAAUUCACUGUUAUUUUCUGCAUUUUUGUACUGAUAUAGUAU